AGAGUUUGAUCAUGGCUCAGAACGAACGCUGGCGGCAGGCCUCAAACAUGCAAGUCUAGGGGGCGUAGCAAUACGUCACCGGCGGACGGGUGCGUAACACGUGGGAAUGUACUUAUUGGUUCGGAACAACUCAGGGAAACUUGAGCUAAUACCGAAUGUGCCCGUAAGGGGAAAGAUUUAUCGCCAAUAAAUCAGCCCGCGUCCGAUUAGCUAGUUGGUGGGGUAAAGGCUCACCAAGGCGACGAUCGGUAGCUGUUCUGAGAGGAAGAUCAGCCACACUGGGACUGAGACACGGCCCAGACUCCUACGGGAGGCAGCAGUUGGGAAUCUUGGACAAUGGGGGAAACCCUGAUCCAGCCAUGCCGCGUGAGUGAUGAAGGCCUUAGGGUUGUAAAACUCUUUCGGCGGGGACGAUAAUGACGGUACCCGCAGAAGAAGCUCCGGCUAACUUCGUGCCAGCAGCCGCGGUAAUACGAAGGGGGCUAGCGUUGUUCGGAAUUACUGGGCGUAAAGCGUGCGCAGGCGGCCAUCCAAGUCAGUGGUGAAAGCCCGGAGCUCAACUCCGGAAUUGCCAUUGAAACUGUUUGGCUCGAGUACGAGAGAGGUGAGUGGAAUUCCCAGUGUAGAGGUGAAAUUCGUAGAUAUUGGGAAGAACACCGGUGGCGAAGGCGGCUCACUGGCUCGUAACUGACGCUCAUGCGCGACAGCGUGGGGAUCAAACAGGAUUAGAUACCCCCGUAGUCC
Molecule: ribosomal RNA, 744 nt
Filed under: uncultured bacterium
Lineage: Bacteria
Description: bacterial SSU rRNA
Rfam family: Bacterial small subunit ribosomal RNA
Source: RNAcentral